This 1316-nucleotide ribosomal RNA is filed under the name Lactiplantibacillus paraplantarum. RNAcentral describes it as "bacterial SSU rRNA". It matches the Rfam family "Bacterial small subunit ribosomal RNA", at positions 60 to 1342 of the family's 1533-position model. The record is from RNAcentral. Lineage: Bacteria; Bacillati; Bacillota; Bacilli; Lactobacillales; Lactobacillaceae.
AGUCGAACGAACUCUGGUAUUGAUUGGUGCUUGCAUCAUGAUUUACAUUUGAGUGAGUGGCGAACUGGUGAGUAACACGUGGGAAACCUGCCCAGAAGCGGGGGAUAACACCUGGAAACAGAUGCUAAUACCGCAUAACAACUUGGACCGCAUGGUCCGAGUUUGAAAGAUGGCUUCGGCUAUCACUUUUGGAUGGUCCCGCGGCGUAUUAGCUAGAUGGUGGGGUAACGGCUCACCAUGGCAAUGAUACGUAGCCGACCUGAGAGGGUAAUCGGCCACAUUGGGACUGAGACACGGCCCAAACUCCUACGGGAGGCAGCAGUAGGGAAUCUUCCACAAUGGACGAAAGUCUGAUGGAGCAACGCCGCGUGAGUGAAGAAGGGUUUCGGCUCGUAAAACUCUGUUGUUAAAGAAGAACAUAUCUGAGAGUAACUGUUCAGGUAUUGACGGUAUUUAACCAGAAAGCCACGGCUAACUACGUGCCAGCAGCCGCGGUAAUACGUAGGUGGCAAGCGUUGUCCGGAUUUAUUGGGCGUAAAGCGAGCGCAGGCGGUUUUUUAAGUCUGAUGUGAAAGCCUUCGGCUCAACCGAAGAAGUGCAUCGGAAACUGGGAAACUUGAGUGCAGAAGAGGACAGUGGAACUCCAUGUGUAGCGGUGAAAUGCGUAGAUAUAUGGAAGAACACCAGUGGCGAAGGCGGCUGUCUGGUCUGUAACUGACGCUGAGGCUCGAAAGUAUGGGUAGCAAACAGGAUUAGAUACCCUGGUAGUCCAUACCGUAAACGAUGAAUGCUAAGUGUUGGAGGGUUUCCGCCCUUCAGUGCUGCAGCUAACGCAUUAAGCAUUCCGCCUGGGGAGUACGGCCGCAAGGCUGAAACUCAAAGGAAUUGACGGGGGCCCGCACAAGCGGUGGAGCAUGUGGUUUAAUUCGAAGCUACGCGAAGAACCUUACCAGGUCUUGACAUACUAUGCAAAUCUAAGAGAUUAGACGUUCCCUUCGGGGACAUGGAUACAGGUGGUGCAUGGUUGUCGUCAGCUCGUGUCGUGAGAUGUUGGGUUAAGUCCCGCAACGAGCGCAACCCUUAUUAUCAGUUGCCAGCAUUAAGUUGGGCACUCUGGUGAGACUGCCGGUGACAAACCGGAGGAAGGUGGGGAUGACGUCAAAUCAUCAUGCCCCUUAUGACCUGGGCUACACACGUGCUACAAUGGAUGGUACAACGAGUUGCGAACUCGCGAGAGUAAGCUAAUCUCUUAAAGCCAUUCUCAGUUCGGAUUGUAGGCUGCAACUCGCCUACAUGAAGUCGGAAUCGCUAGUAAU